This 463-nucleotide ribosomal RNA is filed under the name Streptococcus sp. oral taxon 066. Its description in RNAcentral is "bacterial SSU rRNA". It matches the Rfam family "Bacterial small subunit ribosomal RNA", at positions 28 to 473 of the family's 1533-position model. The record is from RNAcentral. Lineage: Bacteria; Bacillati; Bacillota; Bacilli; Lactobacillales; Streptococcaceae.
GAUGAACGCUGGCGGCGUGCCUAAUACAUGCAAGUAGAACGCUGAAGCUUGGUGCUUGCACCGAGCGGAUGAGUUGCGAACGGGUGAGUAACGCGUAGGUAACCUGCCUGGUAGCGGGGGAUAACUAUUGGAAACGAUAGCUAAUACCGCAUAACAGUAGAUAUUGCAUGAUAUCUGCUUGAAAGGGGCAAUUGCUCCACUACCAGAUGGACCUGCGUUGUAUUAGCUAGUUGGUGAGGUAACGGCUCACCAAGGCGACGAUACAUAGCCGACCUGAGAGGGUGAUCGGCCACACUGGGACUGAGACACGGCCCAGACUCCUACGGGAGGCAGCAGUAGGGAAUCUUCGGCAAUGGACGGAAGUCUGACCGAGCAACGCCGCGUGAGUGAAGAAGGUUUUCGGAUCGUAAAGCUCUGUUGUAAGAGAAGAACGAGUGUGAGAGUGGAAAGUUCACACUGUGAC